Molecule: ribosomal RNA, 496 nt
Filed under: uncultured bacterium
Lineage: Bacteria
Description: partial 16S ribosomal RNA
Rfam family: Bacterial small subunit ribosomal RNA
Source: RNAcentral
AUGCACGCUGGCGGCGUGCCUAAUACAUGCAAGUCGAGCGAACAGAUGAGGAGCUUGCUCCUCUGACGUUAGCGGCGGACGGGUGAGUAGCACGUGGAUAACCUACCUAUAAGACUGGGAUAACUUCGGGAAACCGGAGCUAAUACCGGAUAAUAUAUUGAACCGCAUGGUUCAAUAGUGAAAGACGGUUUUGCUGUCACUUAUAGAUGGAUCCGCGCCGCAUUAGCUAGUUGGUAAGGUAACGGCUUACCAAGGCAACGAUGCGUGGCCGACCUGAGAGGGUGAUCGGCCACACUGGAACUGAGACACGGUCCAGACUCCUACGGGAGGCGGCAGUAGGGAAUCUUCCGCAAUGGGCGAAAGCCUGACGGAGCAACGCCGCGUGAGUGAUGAAGGUCUUCGGAUCGUAAAACUCUGUUAUUAGGGAAGAACAAAUGUGUAAGUAACUAUGCACGUCUUGACGGUACCUAAUCAGAAAGCCACGGCUAACUACGUG